This 370-nucleotide ribosomal RNA is filed under the name uncultured bacterium. Its description in RNAcentral is "bacterial SSU rRNA". It matches the Rfam family "Bacterial small subunit ribosomal RNA", at positions 527 to 896 of the family's 1533-position model. The record is from RNAcentral.
GAACCGUGCGAACGUUGUUCGGAAUCACUGGGCUUAAAGGGCGUGUAGGCGGGCCUCCAAGUCCGGGGUGAAAUCCUCCCGCCUAACGGGAGAAGAGCCUCGGAGACUGGGGGCCUCGAGGAGGGUAGGGGCGUGCGGAACUCUGGGUGGAGCGGUGAAAUGCAUUGAUAUCCAGAGGAACUCCGGUGGCGAAGGCGGCACGCUGGACCCUUUCUGACGCUGAGGCGCGAAAGCCAGGGGAGCAAACGGGAUUAGAUACCCCGGUAGUCCUGGCCCUAAACGUUGGGAACUAGGUAGUAGGCCAGACAUGGGCUUACUGCCGGAGCAAAAGUGCUAAGUUCCCCGCCUGGGGAGUAUGGUCGCAAGGCUG